Molecule: ribosomal RNA, 253 nt
Filed under: uncultured bacterium
Lineage: Bacteria
Description: partial 16S ribosomal RNA
Rfam family: Bacterial small subunit ribosomal RNA
Source: RNAcentral
UACGUAGGGGGCUAGCGUUGUCCGGAAUCAUUGGGCGUAAAGCGCGCGUAGGCGGCCCGGUAAGUCCGCUGUAAAAGUCCAGGGCUCAACCCUGGAACGCCGGUGGAUACUGUCGGGCUAGAGUCCGGAAGAGGCGAGUGGAAUUCCUGGUGUAGCGGUGAAAUGCGCAGAUAUCAGGAAGAACACCCGUGGCGAAGGCGGUUCUCUGGGACGGUACUGACGCUGAGACGCGAAAGCGUGGGGAGCGAACAGG